CCUACGGGAGGCAGCAGUGGGGAAUAUUGCACAAUGGGGGAAACCCUGAUGCAGCGACGCCGCGUGAGCGAAGAAGUAUCUCGGUAUGUAAAGCUCUAUCAGCAGGGAAGAAAAUGACGGUACCUGACUAAGAAGCCCCGGCUAACUACGUGCCAGCAGCCGCGGUAAUACGGAGGGGGCAAGCGUUAUCCGGAUUUACUGGGUGUAAAGGGAGCGCAGGCGGCGCGGUAAGUCUGGUGUGAAAACCCGGGGCACAACCCCGGGACUGCAUUGGAAACUGUCGUGCUUGAGUGUCGGAGGGGCAAGUGGAAUGCCUGGUGUAGCGGUGAAAUGCGUAGAUAUUGGGAGGAACACCAGUGGCGAAGGCGGCUUGCUGGACGACAACUGACGCUGAGGCUCGAAAGCGUGGGGAGCAAACAGGAUUAGAUACCCCAGUAGUC
This 440-nucleotide ribosomal RNA is filed under the name uncultured bacterium. RNAcentral's name for it is "partial 16S ribosomal RNA". It matches the Rfam family "Bacterial small subunit ribosomal RNA", at positions 338 to 795 of the family's 1533-position model. The record is from RNAcentral.